GUUUGAACCUGGCUCAGGACGAACGCUGGCGGCGUGCUUAACACAUGCAAGUCGAACGGUGAUGUCAGAGCUUGCUCUGGCGGAUCAGUGGCGAACGGGUGAGUAACACGUGAGUAACCUGCCCCCGACUCUGGGAUAACUGCUAGAAAUGGUAGCUAAUACCGGAUAUGACGACUGGCCGCAUGGUCUGGUCGUGGAAAGAAUUUCGGUUGGGGAUGGACUCGCGGCCUAUCAGGUUGUUGGUGAGGUAAUGGCUCACCAAGCCUACGACGGGUAGCCGGCCUGAGAGGGUGACCGGCCACACUGGGACUGAGACACGGCCCAGACUCCUACGGGAGGCAGCAGUGGGGAAUAUUGCACAAUGGGCGCAAGCCUGAUGCAGCAACGCCGCGUGAGGGAUGACGGCCUUCGGGUUGUAAACCUCUUUUAGUAGGGAAGAAGCGAAAGU
Molecule: ribosomal RNA, 448 nt
Filed under: Clavibacter sp. PD5714
Lineage: Bacteria; Bacillati; Actinomycetota; Actinomycetes; Micrococcales; Microbacteriaceae
Description: bacterial SSU rRNA
Rfam family: Bacterial small subunit ribosomal RNA
Source: RNAcentral